GGAGGAGAGAUAUUUGCGUCGCUGAUCAACCGGUGACAAGGUAACUACUCUUCAACCUAAACGUUUUUCGUUUCCAAUUCCAACUCGACGAUUUUGAAACCCUGAUAUUGGAGACGGUUUUAUUCCAUCCUUUGGACAACAGUCCGGAAAAGGAAUUGUGCAACAAAUAUUUCAUGUAUAUCAUAACAAAAUCUCCUAGUUGAAUACUAGACCACUGUCAUCAAUACCACAGGAUAAACCUGAGUCUCACUUCCCGAAUCGCUCUCCUCUGGGUUUCCGAGGUUUUCGGUUCUACAAGUUUCUUCCCAGUAGAGUGUAUUUUGACAAGUUUCUCCCACACGGGGCCAAAAUACAAGGUGAGUCUUCUCGGACAUGCAGAAACGUGCGUUGCAUGCCAAGUGCAUGUAAGCAGGAAGCCAUACAACUUGCAGUGAACCACAGCAUGUAACAUAACCCUCCAGCCAAGGCUAGCAGGAACUGAGGUGUUUUUAUAUAACAAGCUGUAUUUAUAUGACACUGUCGUUAUUGUUACUAUCAGAGAAGAAAUAGUUACAAAAUUUUGUACGUGUACAUGCCCAUGCAUACAUUUGUUUGAGAAAUGAGCUUGAAUAUAAAUGUAUCCUUACUUUUAAGCAAGCAGAUUAAAUUAUCAUUCUGUAUGUAUGAAGCACGUUUCUACACACCCUGCUACCUUCUCUAAAAUUAAACAGCUUAUGUGUG
Long non-coding RNA from Zootermopsis nevadensis, 720 nucleotides. RefSeq lists it as uncharacterized. The record is from RefSeq and is a predicted model, not a curated record. NCBI's taxonomy places the organism in Eukaryota, Metazoa, Arthropoda, Insecta, Blattodea, Termopsidae.